RNAcentral lists this ribosomal RNA (516 nucleotides) under Conus miniexcelsus. RNAcentral's name for it is "partial 12S ribosomal RNA". Lineage: Eukaryota; Metazoa; Mollusca; Gastropoda; Neogastropoda; Conidae. The record is from RNAcentral.
AGACAGUUAAGUAAUAAAAUAAAGACCAUUAGACUUUCAGUAUAGGGGUAAAAUCUAAAUAUUGAAAAUUAUUUUAGGUAUGGUUUAUUAUAGGUACUGAAUCUGUGAUAGCUUUAAGGGAAACUGGGAUUGGAUACCCCAUUAUUUUUAGUCGUAAAUUUAAUUUAAGUUUACCAGAGUACUACGAAUAAAAAGUUUAAAACUCAAAGAGCUUGGCGGUGUUUUAGACCUCUCAGGGGAACCUGUCUCAUAAUCGACAAUCCACGUUAGACCUGACCUUUAAUAGCAAGUCAGCCUGUAUACCGUCGUCGUCAGGUAACUUCCUAAAAUAUAGUAGUUAGCUUGAUAAUUUUAUUAAUUAAGACGUCAGAUCAAGGUGCAGCUAAUAGAAAGGGGAGGAUGGGUUACAAUUAUUUAUUCGUAAUUACGGAAAAACACUUGAAACAAAGUGUCUAAAGGAGGACUUGAAAGUAAUUUUAAUUAUAUAAAUAGAAUGAAUAAGGCUCUGAAACGUGC